GUGUAUCUCACUUCCCAUGUUGGAUCAUUCUCUCCCUUUUUUAUUCUAUCAGCUAGUAUUUGCAGACACUAGUCUUGUUCAUGUGAUCCCUUUGGUUCUUAGUCCUAUCAUUAUGAUCAAUUGUGAACAGAAAUUGAUCACUGGGACUAGUGGGAUAGCAUUGGUACAUGCCACCUUGAUGGGAUUGAACUGGAAAACCCUGGUAUGUUUCUAAAUCUACCGUUUGAGAUCUUCCCAUGUUUCCACAUUUCCUGUUUUCAAUAUUGGCCCUGAUGGUCUCACUCGGCAGGUGGCAAUGUCUCUUCAUUCUCUGGUAGAGUUACAGACACUGAAAGAGAGACAGAUACAAAGGUCUUCCAUCCGGUGGUUCACCCCCCAAAUGUCUACAACGGCCUGCUCUAAGCCGAUCCGAAGCCAGGAGAUUCUUCCUGGUCUCCCAGGUGGGUGCAGGGGCCCAAGCACUUGGGCCAUCCUCCACUGCCUUCCCGGGCCACAGCAGAGAGCUGGACUGGAAGAGUAGCAACCGGGACUAGAACUUGGUGCCAUAUAGGAUGCUGGUGCUGCAGGUGGAGGAUUAACCUAGCGUACCACUGUGCCAGCCCCUCAAUUGGUUUUUACAACAAUGUGGUAUAUAAAAUCAUGAUCAGUUUACAAUGCACUUCUUUUUUUAAGAUUUAUUUAUUUAUUUGACAGAGUUGCACAGAGAGAGAAGGAGUGGCAGAGAGAGAGAGGUCUUCCAUUCACUGGCUCACUCCUCAAUUGGCCACAGGGGCUGGAGCCAUGCUGAUCUGAUGCCAGGAGCCAGAAGCUUCUGCCGGGUCUCCCACCCUGGUGCAGUGGCCCAAGGACUUGAGCCAUCUUCUACUGCUUUCCCAGGCCAUAGCAGAGAGCUGGAUCGGAAGUGGAACAGCCGAGACUUGAGCCGGUGCCCAUAUGGGAUGCUGGCAUUGCAGAUGGCGGCCCUACCAGCUACACCACAAUACCAGCCACCAAUAUACUUCUUUAAUGCUUAAUAAUAUCAUAGUUUAACUUGUAUUAGAAAAAAUUCAUGACAUACCAUAUAGUUUUGCUUAUAAAAGUAGCUAUUAGCAUAUAUUAUGAGCGUACUUUGAUCCAUAUUGAGAGAAAAAUUCAGUUUCAUCUAGUGAACAUACCAAGUUAAUGCUCAUAAAUUUGUAAUUCCAGAAAUAUGCAAGAUAUUACAGCCUCCCGAAAUAUACUUAAGUUCUUGACAUCGGUAACCUAAUAUUUUCCCAAAAGAUAGAAAUUAUAUUCACAAAACUUUGUUAGCCUGAAGGUAUCCAUGAAAGUGUCCAAGAUAAAGCAACUUUCCACUAACUUUUCAUAUGAUUACAAAAAUCUGAAUAACAAAACUUAUUUGAAUGUGAGUCAUUUCAAAUGUGUUGAAAUAAUGCAUAUUCCUUGCAGGUCAAUUUUCUCUACCUCAGUGGAUAUUUUAUGACAGUGUAACCAACAUAUAGAGUCUUCGCCUGAGUAACUAUUUGACAUAAUGGCAAUUAUGAAACUUUAUAAAAUGUAAAAAUAAACCAUUGUGAAGGAAUUCCAUAUGAUUGAAACCUGAGGAUAUUAGUAACAAAACAUGGAGGGAAUGGAGCAAAAUUUACCAUCAGAUGGCAAUCAAAGGAUCCAUUGGAAAGAUCUGAAAAAUUAUCAAUAAUGAGAACAAAAAUUCAAGAUGAGAGACAGAAAAAUACAAGAGAUCCCACCUGAGGGUCCACGCUCCAAAUGACUCUGAUAAUUAGAGCUUUGCCAGAGUUGAAGCUGGGAGUCAGAAGCUCAAUCCAUGUCUCCAGCAUGGAUGUAAGCGACCCGACUACUUGAGCCAUCAGCUGCUGCCUUCCAGGAUCCGCCUUAACAGAAAGCUGAAGUCAGGAGUCAGAACCAGAUAUGAAACCCAGGAACUUCAAUAUGAGACACGGACAUCUACGACACUAAACGCCCAGUCCAUCAUAAGUUAUUUUGAAAGGAUAGUAAUAUUGUAACUAUUUUCUAAUUGACAGUUUGUUCUUAAAUGAUUGAACAAUAACUGAACAAAAUGAAUACAUCUUUUAUGAAGAUUAAGCAAGCAGUAGAGUAACAUUUGUAACAGAUUUAUGAUAGUAAGACAGGACAUUUCAGUGAAUUUGUAGCUCAGUCCUGAUAAUAGCAGUCGGAAAAUAUAAGAACAUAUAUUAAUACAUGCACUGUACACACAUUUAUAACUGGGUUGCUUCAAAACUACUGAAAAUGAAUGGAGAAGCAAGGAGUUGAAGCUGAAAUUUAAGUCUGCUUUUCAAAGGAAGCUGAACACUCUUAGCAUCUGUGUGCCAUCUUCCUAGGCUCUCAUAACUCACCUCUCCACUCCCUGCUUUGGCUUUGUCAGUGAUUUUAUUAUAUGUCUAUUCCUUUUAUAAACAUUGUAUCUGCUCAGAAAUUUUGCAUCUUACUUCUUGUCAUGAUAUUUGCUUCAUUAUUAUUAUGCAUCUUGAUCCAUGUUUUCUGUGCUUAAUGUCAGCACUAGAAGUCGCAGACUGCUUUACACUGUAGAAAACAAUUUCUUACAUAUAAUAUGCUGACAUAGACAUAAGACUUUGUCACAAAAGAACAAUUCACUGUGUAUCUUUUUUUUUUUUCUCUUCUCUGUGCACCACUUUCACAUUUAUUAGUUAUAAGAAAAGUAAUAGGGGCGGGCACCACGGCUCACUAGGCUAAUCCUCCGCCUUGCGGCGCCGGCACACCAGGUUCUAGUCCCGGUCGGGGCGCCGGAUUCUGUCCCGGUUGCCCCUCUUCCAGGCCAACUCUCUGCUGUGGCCCGGGAGUGCAGUGGAGGAUGGGCCAGGUCCUUGGGCCCUGCACCCCAUGGGAGACCAGGAGAAGCACCUGGCUCCUGCCUUCGGAUCAGCGUGGUGCACUGGCCACAGCGCGCCAGCCGCGGCGGCCAUUGGAGGGUGCCAUUCCAAAGGCAAUGGAAGACCUUUCUCUCUGUCUCUUUCUCUCACUGUCCACUCUGCCUGUCAAAUAAAUAAAUAAAUAAAUAGCUGUUUUUUUUUUAAAAAAAAGAAAAGUAAUAGGGAGAAAAUUUAAGUGACAUGCUAUGAGUAUCCAAAUAGAGAAUGGAAAGCCCAGAGUCUGAAGCAAUCCCAUGCGCGUUCCCCUCUUCUCUUUGUUGCUUUCACUGUCUUUCCAAUAUCUUGAAACUAUAACCCAGAGAUUGAGAGGUUUCUACCAAAAAUAUGAAAGCUCAUUUUGAUAUUGGCCUUAAGUACCACUAUUCUUUGUGUAUGCCUAUAAUAGAUGCCAGGAUAGUUGAUUGAUAUAGAAAGCUAUCCGUGGCUAUUCGGACAAUUUUACCUGCAUAUAAAAGUGCCUGAAGCAGGAGCUUCCAGAGGGUAAUUAUAUAUCUAGAGCGGGAAGACUUUUAAAUUGGUAAAUCAAGAAGAAAAAACUAAAUUGACAUUAGUUGCACAUAAUAUAUUUCCAUUCCUGGUAAAUGCAAAGGACCACUUAAAAACUAAUAAAACUAAUGAGUACUUAGAGAAAUCACUAGAUACAAGGAAACAUACCAAAAUAAUAGCUUCUUCAAAUGCCAGCUAUAAUCAGGAACACAAACACACACACACACACACACACACAUACACAUUUAAAGCCCAAAAAGCAAUCCUCCUAAAUAUUUAGAAAUAAACUUUGUAAAUUACAGAGAAUUGUAAUUGAACAGAAUAAAAGAGUAGUAAAAAUGCUUUUGAAACAAGAUGCUAUAUUCCCAGGUAGCUUGAAUCAAUAGUAUAAAUUUGUCAGCCAUCCUAAAAUAAGCAUGCAAUUUAAUCUCCCUCAAAAUUGUAAUUUGAAGCAGAUAUGCUGACAUGGAAAUGUCAGCCAACAUAUGUUAUUGGUCGCAGAAAAGCAAGAUGUAGAACAUUUGAUACUUUCUUACUCAUCUAAGAUUAGAAAUACAUAAUAAAUAGAAUGUAAAUGUAUUUUUCUUCUUUUCUCUGUGUAUGAAUUUACAAAAGCAAAGAAUAAUGCACAACAAACUAUUAACACUGGUGACUGCUAGGACACAGGUGAGCAAGACAAUAGAAUUUUUAUGUUAUAUAUUUUGUAUUGCUUGAAAUAUUUAUGAUGACCAUGUAUUGCUUUCGAAAUAAGAAAAUGAAUAAAUCUAUAAAAAUGAACGCACAUCAUAUUAGGGGGCAUAAAGGCAUCCUUUUUGGUAACUUCUAGUUGAUUUACAGAACAGUUCUAAGAAGAGUACUCACUAAUAUGUGGAACAUAAAAAGUCAAAUUCCUAGAAAAAGAGUUAAAGGACAGGGUUUGUGAAGAUGCUGAUCAAAUGACACAAAACUCCCAUUAGAUAGGAGGAGCAAGUUAAAAAACUCUAU
Oryctolagus cuniculus (rabbit) is the source of this 4379-nucleotide non-coding RNA. NCBI's taxonomy places the organism in Eukaryota, Metazoa, Chordata, Mammalia, Lagomorpha, Leporidae. The record is from RefSeq and is a predicted model, not a curated record.